RNAcentral lists this ribosomal RNA (170 nucleotides) under Melanogrammus aeglefinus (haddock). RNAcentral's name for it is "partial small subunit ribosomal RNA". Lineage: Eukaryota; Metazoa; Chordata; Actinopteri; Gadiformes; Gadidae. The record is from RNAcentral.
CACCGCGGUUAUACGAGAGGCUCAAAUUGAUGAAAAACGGCGUAAAGCGUGGUUAAGAAAACAAGAGAAAAUAUGGCCGAACAGCUUCAAAGCAGUUAUACGCAUCCGAAGUCACGAAGAACAAUCACGAAAGUUGCCUUAAAACCUCUGAUUCCACGAAAGCCAUAAAA